UUUAGGAGGAGCACUAGUUUACCAUCUCCUCAAGUAGGAGAGUGGACAUCAUAAUUUGUGGCAGAGGGGAUACGCGUUCGCGCGGUCCCUACC
RNAcentral lists this small nuclear RNA (93 nucleotides) under Zea mays. RNAcentral describes it as "Zm_83". It matches the Rfam family "U1 spliceosomal RNA", at positions 71 to 166 of the family's 166-position model. From Rfam's summary of the family: U1 is a small nuclear RNA (snRNA) component of the spliceosome (involved in pre-mRNA splicing). The record is from RNAcentral. Lineage: Eukaryota; Viridiplantae; Streptophyta; Magnoliopsida; Poales; Poaceae.